This 691-nucleotide ribosomal RNA is filed under the name Rhodopseudomonas pentothenatexigens. RNAcentral's name for it is "bacterial SSU rRNA". It matches the Rfam family "Bacterial small subunit ribosomal RNA", at positions 90 to 816 of the family's 1533-position model. Lineage: Bacteria; Pseudomonadati; Pseudomonadota; Alphaproteobacteria; Hyphomicrobiales; Nitrobacteraceae. The record is from RNAcentral.
UGUCAGUGGCAGACGGGUGAGUAACGCGUGGGAACAUACCUCUUGGUUCGGAACAACACAGGGAAACUUGUGCUAAUACCGGAUAAGCCCUUACGGGGAAAGAUUUAUCGCCGAGAGAUUGGCCCGCGUCUGAUUAGCUAGUUGGUGUGGUAAAGGCGCACCAAGGCGACGAUCAGUAGCUGGUCUGAGAGGAUGAUCAGCCACAUUGGGACUGAGACACGGCCCAAACUCCUACGGGAGGCAGCAGUGGGGAAUAUUGGACAAUGGGCGCAAGCCUGAUCCAGCCAUGCCGCGUGAGUGAUGAAGGCCUUAGGGUUGUAAAGCUCUUUUGUACGGGAAGAUAAUGACGGUACCGUAAGAAUAAGCCCCGGCUAACUUCGUGCCAGCAGCCGCGGUAAUACGAAGGGGGCUAGCGUUGCUCGGAAUCACUGGGCGUAAAGGGUGCGUAGGCGGGUUUUUAAGUCAGAGGUGAAAUCCUGGAGCUCAACUCCAGAACUGCCUUUGAUACUGAAAGUCUUGAGUAUGGGAGAGGUGAGUGGAACUGCGAGUGUAGAGGUGAAAUUCGUAGAUAUUCGCAAGAACACCAGUGGCGAAGGCGGCUCACUGGCCCAUUACUGACGCUGAGGCACGAAAGCGUGGGGAGCAAACAGGAUUAGAUACCCUGGUAGUCCACGCCGUAAACGAUGAAUGC